This 601-nucleotide ribosomal RNA is filed under the name Gillisella vitis. RNAcentral's name for it is "bacterial SSU rRNA". It matches the Rfam family "Bacterial small subunit ribosomal RNA", at positions 83 to 719 of the family's 1533-position model. The record is from RNAcentral. Lineage: Bacteria; Pseudomonadati; Pseudomonadota; Alphaproteobacteria; Hyphomicrobiales; Rhizobiaceae.
CUCGCAAGAGGAGCGGCAGACGGGUGAGUAACGCGUGGGAAUCUACCGUACCCUACGGAAUAGCUCCGGGAAACUGGAAUUAAUACCGUAUACGCCCUUAGGGGGAAAGAUUUAUCGGGGUAUGAUGAGCCCGCGUUGGAUUAGCUAGUUGGUGGGGUAAAGGCCUACCAAGGCGACGAUCCAUAGCUGGUCUGAGAGGAUGAUCAGCCACAUUGGGACUGAGACACGGCCCAAACUCCUACGGGAGGCAGCAGUGGGGAAUAUUGGACAAUGGGCGCAAGCCUGAUCCAGCCAUGCCGCGUGAGUGAUGAAGGUCUUAGGAUUGUAAAGCUCUUUCACCGAUGAAGAUAAUGACGGUAGUCGGAGAAGAAGCCCCGGCUAACUUCGUGCCAGCAGCCGCGGUAAUACGAAGGGGGCUAGCGUUGUUCGGAAUUACUGGGCGUAAAGCGCACGUAGGCGGAUAAUUAAGUCAGGGGUGAAAUCCCGCAGCUCAACUGCGGAACUGCCUUUGAUACUGGUUAUCUUGAGUAUGGAAGAGGUAAGUGGAAUUGCGAGUGUAGAGGUGAAAUUCGUAGAUAUUCGCAGGAACACCAGUGGCGAA